CGGGGGUGGAACGGGAAACGGACUGAAGCAGCAAAGCAAAGCAAAGCAAAUGUUUGGUAGUUGGUCAGGUCAGAUGAUGGGGUGCUGUCAGUCGUCGGUGGAAGCACCUAUCACCAUUCAUCAGCAACAGCAAAGCCUAACCACAAGGGAUUAUUCCCGGCGUUUUGUCCGUGUCGUCAAUCAGUGGUUGGGGAAUUUUUCUUUUUCUUCUUGUCUUGUUUUGUCUUGUUUCUUUUUCUUUUCUUGUAUAAAUAUAUAAAUACACAUGGAGGAAUUCAGCGGAUCGAUUGGGGGUGGCGGCGGGUAUGGUAUGGUAUGGUCAUCGAGCUAAUCUGACUCUGACAGAGUCACAGCGUGGAUGGAAACCGAUUUCGCCACAUUCAAUUAAGACUGUCUCUGUCUCUGCUAAUUCAGAGUUGAAACGGGAUCGGAACCUCCCUGAUCAGUUCAGACCAGACUCCAAAUACGACUAGGACUCUCCGCUUGUACGUAAAAAGCUCCGGUUUCAUUCAGGCACUAGUAUUUUUUUUUCUUCUUCUUUUGUUUAUUACUAACAAGUGUGUUUCGUGUGUCAAGGUUUGUGCUAGCUAGUUCUAUCAUUUGUCAAUCGCUACUAGAGACACGUCAAGUUUGGCUAGACAGAGAGAGGAUUGCUAGUUUCUGAAACCACAACACAAAAACUGCCUGUGUCUGACGCCCUGAUCCUCAUGAAACUUGCCUGGCUACCAUACCAUCAAGACACCAAAUUAAACAUGGCAGCGGUAACCAAUAUGGACCGUCUGUUUACUUGAGCUUAUCAGCCAAGGCCUUGAUCCGAUUUUUUUUUAGAUUUUAACACUGUAGCACUUUCAUUUUUAUUUGACAAAUAUUGUCCAAUCAUAGAGUAACUAGACUUAAAAAAAUCAUUCACGAUUUACAGACAAACUGUGCAAUUAGUUUUUGUUUUCAUCUAUAUUUAAUGCUCCAUGCAUACGCCGUAAGAUUCGAGGCGACGCUUGAAAAGUUUUUAGUUUUUGAGCUGAACUAAACCAAGCCCAAACUUAUAAGCCAAACGAAAGGAUACACAUGAACCCGCGAGCGAGUUUACUCCUACGUUGCGGCAGACAAGAAAUCAUGCGGCUCUUGCUCACUGUCUGUCCUGAAUUCUGAUGACACCCCCAAGGAAGUGCACAAGAAGAGUCAUCAGUCACCAAUGGCAAUGGACCAGCAGCACCACGCCGUGCCUCCCCUUUCAGAAGUACUGUACUCCUAUGAGUAACUGUCCACGGAAGGAAUGAUGGAUGCAAAUGGAAAAAAAUGCGAGAGAGAUUCAUCAAUGUGGGGAUGGUUGGCUGGUGGUUGUUCUUCACAUGGUCCUGCAGCCUGCACCAGAGCAUGCCUGGCCU
RNAcentral lists this long non-coding RNA (1385 nucleotides) under Sorghum bicolor (sorghum). RNAcentral describes it as "long non-coding RNA (SBIC_LNC000590)". Lineage: Eukaryota; Viridiplantae; Streptophyta; Magnoliopsida; Poales; Poaceae. The record is from RNAcentral.